UUUCCGUAGGUGAACCUGCGGAAGGAUCAUUAUUGUAUAACCGAGGUGCGAGGGCUGUCGCUGACCCGAAAGGUCGUGCACGCCCGAGUGCCCUCACACACAUCCAUCUCACCCCUAUGUGCACCACCGCGUGGGUCCCCCUUUGGCUUGUUCGGAGGGGGGCUUACGUUUUCACACAAACUUUGUAUGCAGUGUAGAAUGUAUUUUUUGUUUUUGCGAUCACGCAAUCAAUACAACUUUCAACAACGGAUCUCUUGGCUCCCGCAUCGAUGGAGAACGCAGC
RNAcentral lists this unclassified non-coding RNA (283 nucleotides) under plant metagenome. RNAcentral describes it as "partial contains small subunit ribosomal RNA, internal transcribed spacer 1, and 5.8S ribosomal RNA". The stretch from base 235 to 283 matches the Rfam family "5.8S ribosomal RNA", at positions 1 to 49 of the family's 154-position model. The record is from RNAcentral.